GAUGAACGCUGGCGGCGUGCAUAACACAUUCAAGUCGAACGGUGACGAGGACUUCGGUCCUCUGAUCAGUGGCGGACGGGUGAGUAACGCGUGAGCAACCUGCCCUAUAUUGCGGGAUAACAACCGGAAACAGUUGCUAAUACCGCAUAAUGUACACGGAUCGCAUGAUCUGUGUACCAAAGCUUUAUGUGCUGAAAGAUGGUCUCGCGUCUGAUUAGCUAGUUGGUGAGGUAACGGCUCACCAAGGCGACGAUCAGUAGCCGGUCUGAGAGGAUGAACGGCCACAUUGGGACUGAGAUACGGCCCAGACUCCUACGGGAGGCAGCAGUGGGGAAUAUUGGGCAAUGGGGGAAACCCUGACCCAGCAACGCCGCGUGAAGGAAGAAGGCCUUCGGGUUGUAACGUUCUUUUAGUCAGGACGGAAGAACGUGACGGUACCUGCAGAAAAGACAACGGCUAACUACGUG
Molecule: ribosomal RNA, 467 nt
Filed under: uncultured bacterium
Lineage: Bacteria
Description: bacterial SSU rRNA
Rfam family: Bacterial small subunit ribosomal RNA
Source: RNAcentral